Long non-coding RNA from Ruditapes philippinarum (Manila clam), 234 nucleotides. RefSeq lists it as uncharacterized. The transcript is spliced from 3 exons. The record is from RefSeq and is a predicted model, not a curated record. Lineage: Eukaryota; Metazoa; Mollusca; Bivalvia; Venerida; Veneridae.
UAAUAGCUACUCUGAGAUUUAUUGCUCAUCGUGGACCUCUUUCAACUCGACUUAUUGCGUUGGACGAUGUCAGCUUAUCAAAAGGAUCAUGUCAAGAUAUCUCAAACAAAAGAUGUGAUUUUGGUGACAUCGGUACGUGCAAUGCUAGGAUCAUUUGCAACAACUGCGAUCAGGAAUACAGAUGGAAAUGGACCGAUGGCACGCUUGUUGAUGAAGAUAAUGAAAUGUCAAACG